Molecule: small nuclear RNA, 105 nt
Organism: Cavia aperea (Brazilian guinea pig)
Lineage: Eukaryota; Metazoa; Chordata; Mammalia; Rodentia; Caviidae
Source: Ensembl
GUGCUAGCUUUGGCAGUCCAUGUACUAAAACUGGAGCCAUACAGAGAAGAUUAGCUUGGCCCCUGCGCAAAGAUGACACAAAUUUAUAACGCAUUCCACAUUUUU